RNAcentral lists this ribosomal RNA (253 nucleotides) under uncultured bacterium. RNAcentral describes it as "partial 16S ribosomal RNA". It matches the Rfam family "Bacterial small subunit ribosomal RNA", at positions 524 to 776 of the family's 1533-position model. The record is from RNAcentral.
UACGAAGGGGGCUAGCGUUGCUCGGAAUCACUGGGCGUAAAGCGCACGUAGGCGGCUUACUAAGUCAGGGGUGAAAUCCUGGAGCUCAACUCCGAAACUGCAUUCGAUACUGCCGUGCUUGAGGACUGGAGAGGAGACUGGAAUUUACGGUGUAGCGGUGAAAUGCGUAGAUAUCGUAAGGAAGACCAGUGGCGAAGGCGGGUCUCUGGACAGUACCUGACGCUGAGGCACGAAGGCCAGGGGAGCAAACGGG